RNAcentral lists this ribosomal RNA (201 nucleotides) under uncultured prokaryote. Its description in RNAcentral is "partial 16S ribosomal RNA". It matches the Rfam family "Bacterial small subunit ribosomal RNA", at positions 524 to 724 of the family's 1533-position model. The record is from RNAcentral.
UACGUGGGGGGCGAGCGUUGUCCGAAGUUACUGGGCGUAAAGCGCGCGUAGGCGGGUUGGCAAGUCUGCUGUGAAAGCCCGGGGCUUAACUCCGGAGGGUCGGUGGAUACUGCCAGUCUUGAAGGUGCUAGGGAGAGAUGGGAUUACAGGUGUAGCGGUGAAAUGCGCAGAUAUCAGGAGGAACACCGAUGGCGAAGGCAG